GGAUCAUUAUCGAUUAUCCAGGAUUGUCGCUGGCUAGAUUCGAUUCGAUUCGUUUCUAGCAUGUGCACGUCCACCAUAACACAUACAUACACCCUUGUGCACCUUUUGUAGAUCCUCGAGAGGGGAUCUAUGUCUUUUCUCAUCACGCUCCUAACGUAUGUCUAUGAAUGUGUAAACGAAAACGAAUACAUACAACUUUCAGCAACGGAUCUCUUGGCUCUCGCAUCGAUGAAGAACGUAGCGAAUUGCGAUAAGUAAUGUGAAUUGCAGAUUUCCAGUGAAUCAUCGAAUCUUUGAACGCACCUUGCGCUCCUUGGUAUUCCGAGGAGCAUGCCUGUUUGAGUGUCAUCGAAUUCUCAACCAUGUCUUACAUGGAUUGGAGUUUGGGGGGUUUUGCUGGCGUCGAAAGAUCCGUCAGCUCUCCUGAAAUGCAUUAGCGGAUGGGGUCAGCUUUGACAUGCACGGCCUUUUCGACGUGAUAAUGAUCGUCGUUUCGGGGCUGGAGUGUCGACCGAUCAGACCGUUUGCUUCUAAUCAUCAAGGAAUUCCAGCUUAGCUACUAGUCGGUCGGCGAACGCGGCUGGAUGCCUUACUUUCUUCAUGCUUGACCUCAAAUCAGGUAGGACUACCCGCUGAACUUAAGCAUAUCAAUAAGCGGAGGAAAAGAAACUAACAAGGAUUCCCCUAGUAACUGCGAGUGAAGCGGGAAAAGCUCAAAUUUUGAAUCUGGCGGUCUUUCGGCCGUCCGAGUUGUAAUCUAGAGAAGCGUCUUCCGCGCUGGACCGUGUACAAGUCUCCUGGAAGGGAGCGUCAUAGAGGGUGAGAAUCCCGUCUUUGACACGGACCGCCAGGGCUAUGUGAUGCGCUCUCGACGAGUCGAGUUGUUUGGGAAUGCAGCUCAAAACGGGUGGUAAAUUCCAUCUAAAGCUAAAUACAGGCGAGAGACCGAUAGCGAACAAGUACCGUGAGGGAAAGAUGAAAAGAACUCUGGAAAGAGAGUUAAACAGUACGUGAAAUUGCUGAAAGGGAAACGCUUGAUGUCAGUCGCGUCGGCCAGGGAUCAACCUUGCUUCUCGCUGGGUGCAUUUCCUGGUCGACGGGUCAGCAUCAGUUUCGAUCGCCGUACAAUGGCAAAGGGAACGUGGCACUCCUCGGGGUGUGUUAUAGCCUUUCGUCGCAUGCGAUGGUCGGGACUGAGGAACUCAGCACAGGCUUCUAGCUU
This 1222-nucleotide ribosomal RNA is filed under the name Tylopilus sp. 1D7. RNAcentral's name for it is "eukaryotic LSU rRNA". The stretch from base 606 to 1222 matches the Rfam family "Eukaryotic large subunit ribosomal RNA", at positions 1 to 616 of the family's 3401-position model. The record is from RNAcentral. Lineage: Eukaryota; Fungi; Basidiomycota; Agaricomycetes; Boletales; Boletaceae.